Non-coding RNA from Paramisgurnus dabryanus, 1448 nucleotides. The record is from RefSeq and is a predicted model, not a curated record. NCBI's taxonomy places the organism in Eukaryota, Metazoa, Chordata, Actinopteri, Cypriniformes, Cobitidae.
GAGAACAUUGAUUAACACUAAUCAUCAGCUCUUUGUGUACAGCACAGCAGGAUGAAGGUGAAUGUCAUCUUCCAGGCAAGAUAAAAGUGUUUAAGGAAAGACCAACUGCAGCAGUGCCUAACUCGGAAAAAGAGCCAGCGUCUGUGAAACUUGGUUCUUUGGCCUUGCAGCAUCUGCCUCUCAUCCUCCAGAAGUUGAGGAGUGUGAAGAAUUGGGGAGGAUGAUGCUACCCACAAAUUCAUCUAAAAGCCCAACUGAAUUCAGAAGUUGUUGGAAUCCCAGUGGUCAAAGGUCUUAUUCCUUCUGCACACUAGGAAUGAUUCUGACAUGAAUCAGGAUUAUCUUUUCUACAUUAAUUUGUUGCUGUUUGUUGGUUAGGCCAUGUUCAGGCCUGUUCUAAUUCUUGUGUCAAUUGUUCUAACAUUGAAAAUAUUUAUAUAUCAGUACAUAUAUAUAACUACAGAGUUCGUGAUUUGCAUGUUUUUUUUUGCAUGUUAUUCUUUAAAAGUUUGAUAUGCACAUGAUUUACAGAUGCAUGAAGCUGUAGAGUACUCAUGUACUGUAGAACAUACCACAUCAUACCACACCCCUAAUAUUAUAAAAAUUCUUAACAUGUGUUCUAUGGGUUUGCAUGCAUUUACAUUACUAUUAAUUAACACAUUUACAUUUUUCUGUGUUAGGUAGGCAUAAACCACCAGCAACUCUCUCAAAACCAGACAGGCGUGAUGAAUACAGUGCUACUUCAUCUCCACGGCCAGAUCGGUAUAUGGACAUGUACGCGUGCCGACUCGACUGUAAAGAUAUGCCUGUUCCUGAUCAGUGUUAUUGUUUUUCACCAAUUCCCUUUAAUCCAGUGAGGGUUCCUUUGCCAGUACCUCCAGAGUUGUUUAAUUAUCUACAAGCAAGACCACAUCUCCAUUAACACCAGUGCAUGAAACCGUUUUCUGUCAGUUGACCUCUGCACAGUCUACAGACUCUACUUCUCCCUGCAGCUGCUGUCCAGUCUUUCUCAGGACUCCCUGCAGCCUCUUCUGGGUACCCCUCAACUCAAAGUGACUGCCCUUAUGUCUCCUGUUUCUGAAUGUAUGCAUUGUAAUUAUUGUAACAUAAAAAUAUAACUCUGUAUUUUGAUUGUUAUGGAUAUCUGUUUAAUGCAGAAACCACUGUGGUAGUUUAUUAAUUUUGGCACAAUCCUAUUUAUAACUGUACUGUAUACAUUCACAUGGGCAGUAGGAUUCAUCUGUGUUUAACUGAAAAAGUACUGUGCAGCCUGAUUAAGCCUGUUUCUGUUUCUUAAAACUGUCACUUAAUUUCAUAGAUUGAUUAUUUAUUUUGGUCAUCUUGAGAUAUUUCCAGUAUGUGUUCAUUCAAUAUAAUUGCCUUUGUUCACAUUUUUGUGCACUUAACAUGUUUAUAUUCUUGUGGUAGAAUGAUUGUCUUAUAAAAUU